This 197-nucleotide ribosomal RNA is filed under the name uncultured bacterium. Its description in RNAcentral is "partial 16S ribosomal RNA". It matches the Rfam family "Bacterial small subunit ribosomal RNA", at positions 328 to 539 of the family's 1533-position model. The record is from RNAcentral.
ACGCUCGACACCUACGGGAGGCAGCAGUGGGAAUAUUGCACAAUGGGGGAAACCCUGAUGCAGCGACGCCGCGUGAGCGAAGAAGUAUUUCGGUAUGUAAAGCUCUAUCAGCAGGGAAGAAACUGACGGUACCUGACUAAGAAGCACCGGCUAAAUACGUGCCCGCAGCCGCGGUAAUCUGAGCGGGCUGGCAAGGC